This 1390-nucleotide ribosomal RNA is filed under the name Mesobacillus thioparans. Its description in RNAcentral is "bacterial SSU rRNA". It matches the Rfam family "Bacterial small subunit ribosomal RNA", at positions 69 to 1437 of the family's 1533-position model. Lineage: Bacteria; Bacillati; Bacillota; Bacilli; Caryophanales; Bacillaceae. The record is from RNAcentral.
AUCUUCAUUAGCUUGCUUUUGAAGAUCAGCGGCGGACGGGUGAGUAACACGUGGGCAACCUGCCUGUAAGACUGGGAUAACUUCGGGAAACCGGAGCUAAUACCGGAUAAUCCUUUUCCUCACAUGAGGGAAAGCUGAAAGACGGUUUCGGCUGUCACUUACAGAUGGGCCCGCGGCGCAUUAGCUAGUUGGUGAGGUAACGGCUCACCAAGGCAACGAUGCGUAGCCGACCUGAGAGGGUGAUCGGCCACACUGGGACUGAGACACGGCCCAGACUCCUACGGGAGGCAGCAGUAGGGAAUCUUCCGCAAUGGACGAAAGUCCUGACGGAGCAACGCCCGCGUGAGCGAUGAAGGCCUUUCGGGUCGUAAAGCUCUGUUGUCAGGGAAGAACAAGUAUCGGAGUAACUGCCGGUACCUUGACGGUACCUGACCAGAAAGCCACGGCUAACUACGUGCCAGCAGCCGCGGUAAUACGUAGGUGGCAAGCGUUGUCCGGAAUUAUUGGGCGUAAAGCGCGCGCAGGCGGUUCCUUAAGUCUGAUGUGAAAGCCCCCGGCUCAACCGGGGAGGGUCAUUGGAAACUGGGGAACUUGAGUGCAGAAGAGGAGAGCGGAAUUCCACGUGUAGCGGUGAAAUGCGUAGAGAUGUGGAGGAACACCAGUGGCGAAGGCGGCUCUCUGGUCUGUAACUGACGCUGAGGCGCGAAAGCGUGGGGAGCGAACAGGAUUAGAUACCCUGGUAGUCCACGCCGUAAACGAUGAGUGCUAAGUGUUAGAGGGUUUCCGCCCUUUAGUGCUGCAGCAAACGCAUUAAGCACUCCGCCUGGGGAGUACGGCCGCAAGGCUGAAACUCAAAGGAAUUGACGGGGGCCCGCACAAGCGGUGGAGCAUGUGGUUUAAUUUCGAAGCAACGCGAAGAACCUUACCAGGUCUUGACAUCCUCUGACAACCCUAGAGAUAGGGCGUUCCCCUUCGGGGGGACAGAGUGACAGGUGGUGCAUGGUUGUCGUCAGCUCGUGUCGUGAGAUGUUGGGUUAAGUCCCGCAACGAGCGCAACCCUUGAUCUUAGUUGCCAGCAUUAAGUUGGGCACUCUAAGGUGACUGCCGGUGACAAACCGGAGGAAGGUGGGGAUGACGUCAAAUCAUCAUGCCCCUUAUGACCUGGGCUACACACGUGCUACAAUGGAUGGAACAAAGGGCAGCGAAGCCGCGAGGUGAAGCCAAUCCCAUAAAACCAUUCUCAGUUCGGAUUGCAGGCUGCAACUCGCCUGCAUGAAGCCGGAAUCGCUAGUAAUCGCGGAUCAGCAUGCCGCGGUGAAUACGUUCCCGGGCCUUGUACACACCGCCCGUCACACCACGAGAGUUUGUAACACCCGAAGUCGGUGGGGUA